CCUAGACCAAACUACUUCACAGGGAGCUGGAGAAGAGGUUCUUGGAAACAUCAGAGGCCAGCUUCACAGGGGUGAGCAAGAGCACCCCUUCCCCCUGCUGUCACCCCUGUUUGGGUCUCUCUGCCUCACAGCCGCAGUUCUCUCCUCCUGGUACUUCGGCCAGGGUGCAAGGUGAAGCCAGGGAAAGAACGACAGGGCAAUCCUCCCUACUCCUCACUCCGUCCAGAAAUUCUUCAGAAGGCCACCCCCG
This 250-nucleotide long non-coding RNA is filed under the name Fukomys damarensis (Damara mole-rat). Its description in RNAcentral is "lncRNA (ENSFDAG00000031531.1)". The record is from RNAcentral. Lineage: Eukaryota; Metazoa; Chordata; Mammalia; Rodentia; Bathyergidae.